UACGUAGGGUGCGAGCGUUAAUCGGAAUUACUGGGCGUAAAGCGUGCGCAGGCGGUUGUGCAAGACAGAUGUGAAAUCCCUGGGCUUAACCUAGGAAUUGCAUUUGUGACUGCACGGCUAGAGUGUGUCAGAGGGGGGUAGAAUUCCAUGUGUAGCAGUGAAAUGCGUAGAUAUGCGGAGGAAUACCGAUGGCGAAGGCAGCCCCCUGGGAUAACACUGACGCUCAUGCACGAAAGCGUGGGGAGCAAACAGG
This 253-nucleotide ribosomal RNA is filed under the name uncultured bacterium. Its description in RNAcentral is "partial 16S ribosomal RNA". It matches the Rfam family "Bacterial small subunit ribosomal RNA", at positions 524 to 776 of the family's 1533-position model. The record is from RNAcentral.